GGCUUCCAAGUGCUUACCACAGGCUUCGCGCUUUGCAUCUACUGUGUAGAAAGAGGAAACACAGUAAUCCCACCCCAUACACACCCCGGCCUAAGCCUUUUGCUUGGUCUUUAUUGUUAAUGGUGAGGCUGGG
This is a small nucleolar RNA of Sorex fumeus (smoky shrew), 133 nucleotides long. RefSeq annotates it as small nucleolar RNA SNORA51. NCBI's taxonomy places the organism in Eukaryota, Metazoa, Chordata, Mammalia, Eulipotyphla, Soricidae. The record is from RefSeq and is a predicted model, not a curated record. The transcript has a single exon.